UGAAAUUAUUGAUGUGAAUGUUCGGCCUAUUGUGGAUGGAGGCUUUCAGGAGCCUAGCAACUCCUUCAGUGUGAAGGAGCCAGCAAAGCCAGGGGUUGAACAGCCUAAAAAGGAGCAGGAGAUGAAUGUUCCUCUAAAUGAUAGCUUGCUGGUUGGGCACGGUGGUGCUUCAGCUUCUGCUCCUCCACCUCCACUCCCCCGUUCAGAGGCUACUUCAACAGUGUUGUAUCCCAUUAUUGACCUGGCUGAAUCAGAAGCCGAUGAGACAUCUCAUCCAGCAGUCUCUUUUACCGGUUUACCAACAUCAUCUGAAGAGAUCCGUAGUGAUAAAGAUGCUGUUGAGCAGACCCUCCUCAGGGAACUCGAGG
Molecule: long non-coding RNA, 368 nt
Filed under: Citrus sinensis (sweet orange)
Lineage: Eukaryota; Viridiplantae; Streptophyta; Magnoliopsida; Sapindales; Rutaceae
Description: long non-coding RNA (CSIN_LNC001911)
Source: RNAcentral